RNAcentral lists this ribosomal RNA (381 nucleotides) under uncultured bacterium. Its description in RNAcentral is "bacterial SSU rRNA". It matches the Rfam family "Bacterial small subunit ribosomal RNA", at positions 28 to 434 of the family's 1533-position model. The record is from RNAcentral.
GAUAAACGCUGGCGGCGUGCCUAACACAUGCAAGUCGAACGAUCCCGCAAGGGAGAGUGGCGGAAGGGUGAGUAACACGUGGGAAUCUACCUCCUCGCAGGGAACAACCUCUCGAAAGAGAGGCUAAUACCCAAAAGGGUCAGAAAUGAUCAGAGUCGAAAGGCGUGAGGAGAGGAGCCCGCGGCCCAUCAGCUAGUUGGUGAGGUAAUGGCUUACCAAGGCUACGACGGGUAGGGGAUCUGAGAGGAUGUCCCCCACACUGGAACUGAAACACGGUCCAGACGCCUACGGGUGGCAGCAGUGAGGAAUAUUGGACAAUGGGCGAAAGCCCGAUCCAGCAACGCCGCGUGGAGGAUGAAGGCCUUCGGUCGGUAAACUUAC